GGGUGCGAUCAUACCGGCACUAAUGGAUCGGAUUCCAUCAGAACUCCGCAGUUAAGCGUGCUUGGGCGAGAGUAGUACCAAGAUGGGUGACCUCUUGGGAAGUCCUCGUGUUGCACCCC
This is a non-coding RNA of Gossypium raimondii (Peruvian cotton), 119 nucleotides long. The record is from Rfam. Lineage: Eukaryota; Viridiplantae; Streptophyta; Magnoliopsida; Malvales; Malvaceae.